This 392-nucleotide ribosomal RNA is filed under the name uncultured bacterium. RNAcentral's name for it is "bacterial SSU rRNA". It matches the Rfam family "Bacterial small subunit ribosomal RNA", at positions 28 to 417 of the family's 1533-position model. The record is from RNAcentral.
GACGAACGCUGGCGGCGCGCCUAACACAUGCAAGUCGAGGGAGAACCGAGCUUUCGGGUUCGGGGAGACCGGCGAACGGGUGAGUAACACGUGAGGAACCUGCCCUGUAGACCGGAAUAACCACGGGAAACUGUGGCUAAUGCCGGAUAUUCUCCGCCACCCGCAUGGGUGGCGUGAGGAAAAGGUCCGCUGCUACAGGAGGGCCUCGCGGCCUAUCAGCUUGUUGGUGAGGUAACGGCUCACCAAGGCGACGACGGGUAGCUGGCGUGAGAGCGCGACCAGCCACACUGGGACUGAGACACGGCCCAGACUCCUACGGGAGGCAGCAGUGGGGAAUCUUGCGCAAUGGGCGAAAGCCUGACGCAGCGACGCCGCGUGCGGGAAGAAGGCCU